GCAAACUUGGUCAUUUAGAGGAAGUAAAAGUCGUAACAAGGUUUCCGUAGGUGAACCUGCGGAAGGAUCAUUACAAAUCCAUCCACGUCAUUCACCAUGACAAUGUUGAACUGUUCCUUCACGCGCGCGCAGUGUGGCAACACACUACUCUAAGCGUGGAAACAACACACCAGUGUGACUCUCACCUCUUCCACGAGCGAUGGCUCUCUAAACACAUACACAACAACACAACCUAGAAACAACUUAUAACAAUGGAUCUCUAGGCUCUUGCAUCGAUGAAGAACGCAGC
Molecule: unclassified non-coding RNA, 289 nt
Filed under: uncultured fungus
Lineage: Eukaryota; Fungi
Description: partial contains small subunit ribosomal RNA, internal transcribed spacer 1, and 5.8S ribosomal RNA
Rfam family: Eukaryotic small subunit ribosomal RNA (bases 1-73)
Source: RNAcentral